This is a long non-coding RNA of Erigeron canadensis, 340 nucleotides long. RefSeq lists it as uncharacterized. The record is from RefSeq and is a predicted model, not a curated record. NCBI's taxonomy places the organism in Eukaryota, Viridiplantae, Streptophyta, Magnoliopsida, Asterales, Asteraceae. The transcript has 3 exons.
UAAGCAAUAACAAUUUUUGGGGUUGUUUAAAACAAGGGUUAUUCCAAGCAAGGUUUAAGGGUUGUUUAAAGCAAAGAAUAAGGAUAUUUUUGGGGUUAGAAGGCCACGAAAAUCUGCACCAUUUUCAUCAUCUAAAAGUGUUCUUCAAGGGCUUGCUUGAGGAAAAACACCACUAGCCAGAGAUCUCGCUUUUGAUCAGCCCUCUUUCACUCUCAAUUCAAGUUAAAGAUUUAGGUGCGUAGCUUGGACCACCCUUUUGGACUCUAAUAUGCUUGUAUGGUUGAACAAGUAUUGCAAACAUUUAAUCAUUUUAAUUAUGAAUUUGGUUGUGUAAUGGAUU